Molecule: long non-coding RNA, 1557 nt
Organism: Phragmites australis (common reed)
Lineage: Eukaryota; Viridiplantae; Streptophyta; Magnoliopsida; Poales; Poaceae
Exons: 3
Source: RefSeq, a predicted model, not a curated record
AAGGUCCUACACUCUCUUCCCCAUCGGCACCGCCCGACCCUCCCGCGUCCGCCCUCCUCAGUUGCCCUGUCCGACGCCGUCGCACGCCGGUCCUCGCGCCAUUUCCAAAUCAUUGCCACCACCGCCCGCCGCUUCUCCUAUUCCUCUCUCCAUGCCCCCUGCCCACUCGGUAUCAUGAAUUCAUGAUCAUCCUCUCCACCCGCCCCAGAUUGGGGUCGACAACGCCCCCUAUCCACGCUUCCCGGGACCGGCCCUUGGCCAGCCGCAAGUGCUAGGGCGGCGACUGGGAUGGUGGAUCUUUUGGUUGGGGACCAUGGGACGGGCUCUGCUGUGUAUUUUGGUUGGGGAUUUGGUCGGCUAACGCGGGAUGAGCGGCCAUUGAUGAAUUUUUCACUGCUUAGUUCGAUUCAUCAGAUUCGGUACGCUCCCCAUUACCUCUCAUCAUCAUCAUCACUCUCUCUCUCUCUCUCACACACACACGCGCGUGCACGAAGCCAUGUGCUCCCUCUCUUUCUGGCUGGCUCCUCUGUGUAUGUGUGCACGCAGUUCAAAGUGAUAACCAGCGCAGCUCCACUUACAUUAUGAUGAGUAGAUUGUGGAGCAAGAGAUGUUAAGAGUUGUGUUUGUAUGUUCGAGCAAAGCCGAAGCCCUUUGGAUGCUACUUCACUAUUUGUGAUCAACUUCCGAUGUGGGUUAAGUUAGCUAGUCUCUGCAUCCAGAUCUCCACAUUUGGGGCUGCUUCCUCCAUGCAAUUGCAGCUGCACUUCCCCGGUGGAAGCAGCAGUAUAGUAACAAACCAAACAUGGAUGGAUGGAUUGGAUUUGAACCAUUCGUAAGCUGGAGCCUUUUUAAGGCAAUCCCAUUGAGAAUCCCUUUUCGUCAUAGCUUAGAUUUCCUACUAUGGUCUCUGUUAUUGCCCAUUGUUUUUGUAUUCUUUAUUGCGUCUAAUUCCUUCCCAGUUCUCGCCAUGAUAACCAAUUUCACUUGAAUUCCUUCAUUCACAUUGAUUUUUUUUACUUAUACUUUUUUAUCAUAAUUGUUUAUUACGUGGAUUCCUUCGCUAGGAUUCACAUAGGCUAACUUUUGUUUGGUUUCAACUCCUUUCCUUCUUCUGUGCCACAGCUUUCAGAUGACUGGAAUUGAGACGAUUCAAUUUGCCAAUUUGGCAUACCAUUGUGCCUUGAGGUUAGUAUAGCAGAGAGUGCAGCGGCAUAGCUCCUAGCUUACGGUUUGUGAUCUACAAUUACAGGGAUACAGUGCUGGAAUUGCAAUGUCAGGGCAACAAAAAUCAAUCUGCAAGCUCCCUGUGGUUGUCAUGGUUAUGAAUCUCUGAAUAUAAUUGUGGUGCAUCUUGGAGCAUAGUAUUAAAAGUAGUUGUUCACUGUCAAGUACUUGCAAUUAUUUAGUUUCGUUUUAGCUUUCAUUACAUAUCUCACUUUUUUUGUUUCCUCUGUGGGCUAAAAGCCUAAAAGACCUAUGUAUACUGUCAUAUGCUAAAUGAGUCAGGGUCAACAUGCAUCGAUUCCUUGGAAUACCGAUUACCUUCUUCUGAUAUUA